GACGAACGCUGGCGGCGUGCUUAACACAUGCAAGUCGAGCGGUAAGGCCCUUUCGGGGGUACACGAGCGGCGAACGGGUGAGUAACACGUGGGUGACCUGCCUUCAGCUCUGGGAUAAGCCUGGGAAACUGGGUCUAAUACUGGAUAUUACUCUGCGGUGCAUGCCGUGGGGUGGAAAGCCUUGUGCGGCUGGGGGAUGGGCCCGCGGCCUAUCAGCUUGUUGGUGGGGUGAUGGCCUACCAAGGCGACGACGGGUAGCCGGCCUGAGAGGGCGACCGGCCACACUGGGACUGAGACACGGCCCAGACUCCUACGGGAGGCAGCAGUGGGGAAUCUUGCGCAAUGGGCGAAAGCCUGACGCAGCGACGCCGCGUGAGGGAUGACGGCCU
This 389-nucleotide ribosomal RNA is filed under the name uncultured bacterium. RNAcentral describes it as "bacterial SSU rRNA". It matches the Rfam family "Bacterial small subunit ribosomal RNA", at positions 28 to 417 of the family's 1533-position model. The record is from RNAcentral.